Molecule: transfer RNA, 68 nt
Filed under: Thremma gallicum
Lineage: Eukaryota; Metazoa; Arthropoda; Insecta; Trichoptera; Uenoidae
Description: tRNA-Ile
Source: RNAcentral
AAUAAAGUGCCUGAAUAAAGGCUUAUUUUGAUAGAAUAAAUCAUGUAAAUUUAAAUUUACCUUUAUUA